CAGUGAAGAGAGCCGGACCAAAUUCAUACCUAAGAAGAAAAGGCAAUUCGUUUUUUUAAUCAAUGAACCACUGGCAACUUUUCUAAUAAGGUCAUAACUAUCAUGGGAUGGGCUCCAAUACAAACACUGCAGUAUGUGUUCUGCUCUAUGUGGGGUCAAAAAGAAAUGAAGCAGGGGG
Long non-coding RNA from Choloepus didactylus (southern two-toed sloth), 178 nucleotides. RefSeq lists it as uncharacterized. The record is from RefSeq and is a predicted model, not a curated record. NCBI's taxonomy places the organism in Eukaryota, Metazoa, Chordata, Mammalia, Pilosa, Megalonychidae. The transcript has 3 exons.